CCUACGGGGGGCAGCAGUGAGGAAUAUUGGUCAAUGGGCGGAAGCCUGAACCAGCCAAGUCGCGUGAGGGAUUAAGGCCCUGCGGGUCGUAAACCUCUUUUGCCGGGGAGCAGAGGUCCGGACGUGUACGGGCCGGGAGAGUGCCCGGAGAAAAAGCAUCGGCUAACUCCGUGCCAGCAGCCGCGGUAAUACGGAGGAUGCGCGCGUUAUCCGGAGUUGUUGGGGUUAAAGGGUGCGUAGGCGGGCAUUUAAGCCGGCGGUCAAAUGUCGGGGCUCAACCCCGGCCUGCCGUCGGAACUGGGUGCCUUGAGUGGGCGAGAAGUAUGCGGAAUGCGUGGUGUAGCGGUGAAAUGCAUAGAUAUCACGCAGAACCCCGAUUGCGAAGGCAGCAUACCGGCGCCCUACUGACGCUGAGGCACGAAAGUGCGGGUAUCGAACAGGAUUAGAUACCCCUGUAGUC
This 460-nucleotide ribosomal RNA is filed under the name uncultured bacterium. RNAcentral's name for it is "partial 16S ribosomal RNA". It matches the Rfam family "Bacterial small subunit ribosomal RNA", at positions 338 to 795 of the family's 1533-position model. The record is from RNAcentral.